GACAGAGGGUGCAAACGUUGUUCGGAAUUACUGGGCGUAAAGCGUGUGUAGGUGGCUGCGAAAGUCGGAUGUGAAAGCCCUGGGCUCAACUCAGGAAGUGCACCCGAUACUGCGUAGCUCGAGUACCGGAGAGGUUGGUAGAAUUCUCGGUGUAGAGGUGAAAUUCGUAGAUAUCGAGAGGAAUACCUGUGGCGAAGGCGGCCAACUGGACGAGUACUGACACUGAGACACGAAAGCGUGGGGAGCGAACAGG
This 253-nucleotide ribosomal RNA is filed under the name uncultured bacterium. RNAcentral describes it as "partial 16S ribosomal RNA". It matches the Rfam family "Bacterial small subunit ribosomal RNA", at positions 524 to 776 of the family's 1533-position model. The record is from RNAcentral.